Molecule: transfer RNA, 23 nt
Filed under: Mecistops cataphractus (African slender-snouted crocodile)
Lineage: Eukaryota; Metazoa; Chordata; Crocodylia; Crocodylidae
Description: partial tRNA-Trp
Source: RNAcentral
AAGAAAUUAGGUUCAAUCUCCAA